CUAGUAAUGUUUGUUGUUCGGGUACUAAAAUGGUCAUACCCAUUUUAGUCUUGGGUAACUCUACCCAUAUAAGCCCAAAGGGCAUAAAAAAGGUAUAAAAGGCCCCAAAUAAGUCAAAUACAUCAAUAUGGCCUUCAACGACCCACAUAUGUAAUUUUAGGGCUCAUAAACCCACUUAUGUACUCAUAUAAAUACCCCUCAAAGGGCAUAAGGUAAAAGGAGGUCACUCUUAUCAUCUAAGAUGACCAUACUCCUCCACUCUCUCCCCUAAACUCCUCUCAAAAUAUGCAUUGUUUGGCAACUAACUUGGGCGUCGGAGGCUCCGCCUCGGGUUCAACCCCCGGGGCUCGGGGUUCAUUUUGCAGGUCCAUUCAAGGCCCAAAUUCGAGGUUCUCAGACACCCCUCCAAGGCCCGGUUAGCUCAUUUUUUGCCGAAACAAUUUGGCGCCGUCUGUGGGGAGACGAGUACUACUACCCAUGAAAAUCCACUAAUUCAUGGCUACUGUGUUCUAUCACGAAAAAGGGUCAAAAUUUCUAGCAAAUUUAACCCAAAAUUAUUACUCCUGUCAAAAGGGGUAAUCAUUCUUGCAAAUGGUGGAGAUGAUAGAUAAACAUUUUGAUUUGUCGCCAAUCUAACCACUACUAACAAGGUACUUCGUGCCUUUACAAAAAAAUUGGGAAAUAUUCCAUGAAUAUGGUCAAACCUUAAUUAUUCUUGAAGAAGAAUAAAAGCUAGAUCUACGUGGCUCUAAUGGAAAGCUCACAAAAGCAAGCCUUUCAUUCACACCACCAAGUUGAAGAGGCAACAGGUGACAUGAAACAUACAUAAAAAAUCAAUCAAGUUUAUGUAAAUUCAAUGCUUGCCGAAGGAAAUUUCCAUUGUCUUCAUCACAAGCUUCAAGGCUCACAACUCCACCACUAGAACGACUCACCAUUUCAUCCUAGGCAACACAUGCCGAGGUCAAUGGGGGUCAAGGCUAGUAUUGUGAAGUGAGCCAAAUCUCUUCACAUCACAUCUAAAGUAGCAGCCGAAGAAGAUCUGAGGUUGUCUACCAUUGUUGAAGCUUAAAAAAGCUCAAACUAUCACCAAUCUAAAAAUCCGAAGCAAAUAGCUCGGAUAAGCAAAAGGAAUCCGAAGCUCAUCGAGCCGAGGCUAUCCGAAGGAGUUUCAGCCCAAGCCGAAGGCGUUCUGGGCGAGUCGAAGGUGAUUCAGCAGAAACCAAGGGUGGUACAGUUUACCGCUCCCAAGUUAAGGUCGGUAACCAUUGCCGAGCCGAAGCUCACCUCUUAUCUCCUGGCCGAGGCUAGCCAUAGCCGAAGCCGAGCCCAGCCGAGGUUUACCUUCGCCGAGAUUCGAGCUCCUAGCCGAAGCUCACAACCAUAUGAGCCGAGGGUGCUGCCGAAGAUGGUUUGUCUGAACCGAAGAAGGUUCAUCCAAGCCGAAGCUCAUACGAGCUAAUGCUAGAGCAACAAAAGCAAUUAGCUUCGGCAGUCAAGUGCAAUUGGCUCAAAUUGUACCCGACCUCAACCUACAUCAAAUCUGAUGAUAACAAGUCAGAAGAAAAAUUUACCUUUUGACCAUUUUCAAAGAGCUAUAAGCCAUAAAAAAAAAACUACCUUUGUCAGGGUAGAUGGCCAGAAUCUUUCUUACCUGCGGCUACUACUUUUAUCAAGUAAAUGGCUUCGGGCCCACUUUCAUCAAAGCCCAUCUAUCAAAUUGCUUCAGCAAAGAAAAAUGGCUCUUAAUUUUUCGAGUCAAUAUUUUCCUCAAAAAAAAAAAAAAAAUAUCAUCAACUAUCCUCACGAUGACGAUGAUAAAAUUAAUCAUCAAUCUUCCUCACGAUGAUGAUGAUUAAAAAAAAAAAAAAA
This is a long non-coding RNA of Chenopodium quinoa (quinoa), 1869 nucleotides long. RefSeq lists it as uncharacterized. The transcript has 2 exons. NCBI's taxonomy places the organism in Eukaryota, Viridiplantae, Streptophyta, Magnoliopsida, Caryophyllales, Amaranthaceae. The record is from RefSeq and is a predicted model, not a curated record.